AGUCCCUGGAGUUCCCAGCCAAGCCACAGACCUGCCUCUAAGGAAGGGAAUCGAGAAGGGAGUAGGAGGGGACCUCUGGGGACUCGGGCCUGGAGCUCCUGCCUGCCUAGAUGAAGAGGAGGUCAAGACUUUGUCCCCCACUCCCCAAGAUACCCCCUCUGUUCCAGAGCGGUGGGUCCCUCCCCUGUUAGGACCUUGUCUCCCUCAGGACUGGACCUGGAUCCUGGGCCUGCAGUCAGAUUGCCAGUCUCACUUAGAGGUGGUAAUGUCAACCCACUGGUUGGAAUGGGAAGAGACUGGGUCCCACUAUAUUGCCUGGGCUGGCCUCGGACUCUUGACCCCAAGUGAUCCUCUGGCCUCAGCCUCCCAAGCAGCUGGACUUAUAGGCAGGCACCACCACACCGAGCUAAAAACUCCUGGCUUCCCUGGGCCUGCUGCACCGGCUCUGGCUAGGUUGGAGAGGGCUGCAGGCAGGACUGUAGUCAGCAGAGGGCACCAAAGCCUCUCAACACACCCAUGGCCCAGGCCUGGCCCAGAAGGAGAGCGCUGAGAGCCAGGACAGGCGGGCUACGUGCCCUGUGGAUUCCCCCAUUUCCCAUGCUUCAUCCGGCCAUGGGCCUGCAGUGCACUCACAAAUGUGCAUAUAACCUCCUGUGUGUGUGUUACGCUCAUGAAAUUGUCUCUGAAUUUGCUUGACUUCAUGUGUUCCUGUGUGUGUGUAUGUGUGUGUGUGUGUGGUGUGUCUGGUGUAUCUGGUUCCCCACGAU
RNAcentral lists this non-coding RNA (767 nucleotides) under Pongo abelii (Sumatran orangutan). Lineage: Eukaryota; Metazoa; Chordata; Mammalia; Primates; Hominidae. The record is from RNAcentral.